This 252-nucleotide ribosomal RNA is filed under the name uncultured bacterium. RNAcentral's name for it is "partial 16S ribosomal RNA". It matches the Rfam family "Bacterial small subunit ribosomal RNA", at positions 526 to 779 of the family's 1533-position model. The record is from RNAcentral.
CGAAGGGUGCAAGCGUUAUUCGGAAUCAUUGGGCGUAAAGCGCGCGCAGGCGGAUUAAUAAGUCAGGUGUGAAAUCUCGGGGCUCAACCUCGAAACUGCGCCUGAAACUAUUAGUCUAGAGUGUUGGAGGGGUAGGGGAAUUUCACGUGUAGGGUAAAAUCCGUAGAGAUGUGAAGGAACACCGGAGGCGAAGGCGCCUACCUGGACAACUACUGACGCUGAGGCGCGAAAGCGUGGGGAGCAAACAGGAUU